GACCAGCUCCUACGGGAGGCAGCAGUGAGGAAUAUUGGUCAAUGGCCGCAGGGCUGAACCAGCCAAGUCGCGUGAGGGAGGACGGCCCUACGGGUUGUAAACCUCUUUUGCCGGGGAGCAACGGGCGUCACGUGUGGCGCCACUGAGAGUACCCGGAGAAAAAGCAUCGGCUAACUCCGUGCCAGCAGCCGCGGUAAUACGGAAGGUCCGGGCGUUAUCCGGAUUUAUUGGGUUUAAAGGGAGCGUAGGCCGGUCUUUAAGCGUGCCGUGAAAUUUUGUGGCUCAACCAUGAGAGUGCGGCGCGAACUGGAGACCUUGAGUGCGCGGAAGGCAGGCGGAAUUCGUGGUGUAGCGGUGAAAUGCUUAGAUAUCACGAAGAACCCCGAUUGCGAAGGCAGCCUGCCGCAGCGUUACUGACGCUGAAGCUCGAAAGCGCGGGUAUCGAACAGGAUUAGAUACCCUAGUA
RNAcentral lists this ribosomal RNA (466 nucleotides) under uncultured bacterium. RNAcentral's name for it is "bacterial SSU rRNA". It matches the Rfam family "Bacterial small subunit ribosomal RNA", at positions 330 to 792 of the family's 1533-position model. The record is from RNAcentral.